This is a long non-coding RNA of Nilaparvata lugens (brown planthopper), 1647 nucleotides long. RefSeq lists it as uncharacterized. Lineage: Eukaryota; Metazoa; Arthropoda; Insecta; Hemiptera; Delphacidae. The record is from RefSeq and is a predicted model, not a curated record. The transcript is spliced from 4 exons.
ACUCAAUCUAAUAGUUAGCAUUACUAGUGAGACAGUUCAGGAUGUGUCAAAAUAUUCAUCAUAAUAUGAAGAUCACUGAUGGUCUAGUUUGACGACUUGAUAGGCAGCAAGAGAGAACCAGAUGAAGAUCGAUCUCUGAGAUAGGCAGCAAGAGAGAACCAGAUGAAGAUCGAUCUCUGAGAUGGGCAGCAAGAGAGAACCAGAUGAAGAUCGAUCUCAGAACUGAGCUAGUUGUUGAAGCCAAUGCUGAUUGAUACUGUUUGAUGUUUGAAAUGAAAUGUGCUGUUCCUUUUAUACCAGUUGAUUUAGCACAGAGUGAAUGGGGGGAUAGAUUAUUAUUGAUCACCACAUUCAAAGUUCAUACUUUUUCUGUGUGAUUGAAUUAACAAGGUCAAGUAGUUGAUUAUUCUGGGGAAAACACUUGCAUUGAUUAAUUAACUUUUUAAUAAUGUCAGCCAAUUAAAAGUAACAAACAACUCCAUUUGCAUCAUUCCUGUUUUUUUUACUCAUUUAUGUGCCUUUCAAGGAAAUUAACAAGGACAAGUAGUUGAUUAUUCUGGGAAAACAUGAUCUAGUUGCAUAAUUCAUCUGAUAAAUUCAUCCAAUUAAGGAAAAGCUUUAGCAUGUGUAUAGGAUAUAGUUAUCAAUCCAAUUAAAUAAUAACUAAAAUGCUUAUACAGUUCUGAUAACUAGUUUUUUAUUAGUAACAACCUCCAGACACCCUUUCCACUAUCAGUGCAAGCUUUUUCCCCACCACUUACAGAUCAUUGCUGUUCUCACACUCAACCCAUCAGUAUCAACAUCAUUCUGACUUCAACACUUCGAACAAUCAACAGCUCCAACCUGAUAUUCAAUUUCUAUGAUUUCAUUCUUCUGAUCCACAUUCUCUUGAUCCAUAUUCUUCCCAUCCACAUUCUCAACCAAAGACAUUGUUGAUUCAAUAAAUCAUUAUGACUUCAACUUCCAAGUCACAAAAAUGUUACACCAUAUUUGUUGAAGGCAACAUAGGGUGUGGGAAAUCAACACUUCUGAACCAUCUUUCAAAGGAGGAGGAUAUCGAAAUUUGUGGAGAGCCAGUGAAUAUGUGGAAAAACUUUCACGGUCACAAUGUUCUCGAAUGUUUUUAUAAGACCCCAAAAAAGUGGAGUUUCAUAUUUCAAAUGCUGGUUCAACUUACUUCAAUAAAUUCUCAUAUGAAGUCCUCCGAAAAACCAAAAAAAAAUAUAGAAAGAUCAAUUUACUCAGCAAGAUAUAUUUUUGCUGAACAUUUGCACAAACAGUCUCAUAUGUCAGAUCUAGAAUAUAAAUUGUUGGAUGAUUGGUUCAAAUGGUUGAUAACUAAUAUUGAAAUCAAAGCUGACUUAAUUUUAUAUAUAAGAACAAAUCCAGAAACUAUUUUGGAACAGGUCAAAUUGCAAGGGAGGGAAGAAGAAAAAUACAUUACACUCUCCUAUCUUCAAUCAAUCCAUCAACUAUAUGAAGAUUGGUUGAUAAAUAGAAGUAAAUCUUCUUUAGUUCCGAUCCUUGUAAUCAAUGGCAAUCAAUCAGAAGAAAAAGUUAUUGAUGAGAUCAAGAGGAAACUACCAAAAUUAUUUGUAUAAUUGAUAAAAAAAAGUUUUUGAUGUAUAAGAAAUAAAAAAAUUUUUG